Molecule: long non-coding RNA, 4017 nt
Filed under: Sorghum bicolor (sorghum)
Lineage: Eukaryota; Viridiplantae; Streptophyta; Magnoliopsida; Poales; Poaceae
Description: long non-coding RNA (SBIC_LNC013039)
Source: RNAcentral
GGGUAAAACAUUUUAAAACAUUCUCUUCAUAACUGCAGAGUGUUAAAAUCCACUAUGUACUAUAGUCAGGGAAAUAUAUGGUUAAGAGUAAAGAUCCUUUCUUCUCAAUCCUAUCACUUGGAGUUUUUGUAUAUUUUUGAAAAGAAAGUUAGCAUACCUUUUAUCCUCAUAGGUUCUCUCCAAUCACUCAUUAUCUUUUAUAUAUCUCACUGAGGCUGUUUUAAUUUGCAAAAAUUCUCAAGCAUACUUACUUUGCAUUUAUUGCUUGAUCAAAACGGGAUCUGAGGAGGGGAAUGUCAUACUCUUAGAUCAAAGACUUUGGGAAUUUAAAAAUUUUGUCAACUCUUGCUGGCAUAUUACUAAUUAGAGGGACCAUGGACUAUCAUUUUCUUUUUCUUCUUUUUUUAAGUGGAUACCGAGGUACCCCUAAUUCUACUGCCGGACACUUGUCAAUUUUUUUCUGCGAGGUUGUCGAGCACUUGCUCCUUUUUAUUUCCUCGAAAUAUCUCUAUUUUUGCAUAGCCCAUGCCUCUAAUGCAAUAAUACUUCGGAAGAUUGAAUCUUUCUGAAUAAAUGUCUUGAUCUUUGGAGCAUGAUAAAUCUCUCAACAAGGGUAUAACUCAUUUGAACAAACUCAAUACAGAGUAGAUAGCCUUUAUAAUCAUAAUUAAUUUUUCUAGUUUUAGUAGGCAUAUAAAACACUGAGGAUGGUAGCUAGAAUUUUUGAAGAUUUUGAAAUAAAUUCUCCAAGUAAUAAUGAUAUCAAGAAUAAGAAACUCAUACUCUACCAUCUCCUAUUCCAUAAUGACUUAAGUAACCCAGGUUUUUUAAAAUGAUUCUUUUCCAAUAAUUGCAAGUUUUAGGAAAUAUUAGAGAGUGAGAUUAAAUCAUGUUUAGAAAUAUUUUAAUCUUUUUAAUUUAUCAAGUCGGAAACAAUAUUCUGCAUAAUCCAAGAUAUAUGUAUGUGUAAUAGUAAAGUGUGCAGAGUGUGUACCUGAAUCGUGGAGUGGUGUAGUCGAAGUGUGUUUGGCAUGUCGAGGGAUCUACCCCAUACUUGUUUUCUGCUUUCUUGCACAAAAAUAAAGUAGAGACACACAAGACAUAAUAAUAAUAAUAAUACUCUUUAUUAAUCUUGAGGCAUUUAUUACAAAAGACUAGUAGCAAACUGAUGAUAAUAGUAGCAAACUGACAAUAAUAGUAAACCUAAACCGAAUUUAAAGAUAGAUAACUAAGAUGCAUUGCCUUAAGAUCUAAUCUAGAUAACUUAGCAGCUCUCUAACUCCUUGAUCUUCUUAUUGGCACUAGCAAGAUCAUGCCUGUAACAGAACCGUCCAAAUUAUAAGAGAUUAAGUCUAAUAGCGACCAUUUGCAUAGUCAAACCAUCCAGCUUAAGCCCAUAUAAUCCUGGUAGUCCAUGAAAUCUCGAAGGAUUUCAAACCACACAUCGUACAUACAACCAAGAUCGUAAUAAGUUCAGUGGUCACCAUUCACAGUUACAUCCAGUUCGAAAACGUUCAUCGAAAACAUCGGAGUGCUUAAAAUUAUUACAAACCAAGUUCAUAAGUAGCGGAAGCUUCAUAGUUUGAAAGUACACACACAAGUUCAGUUUGAUAUAGUGUCAUAGUUUUGGUCAUUCCCACAAAAGCAAAAGAAGAGACGGAGUGACCAUCGCCCUUAGUCUAGUGUUGAUAUUUGGGAACGCAAUAAGGAAUUGAUCCGCAAGCGCACGGAUAUCGGUGAGCACUUCACCCGGGAAAUUAUCUAGAGUAUCGUAUUUAUUUUUUUACCACUAGGAGAAAGAGUGCAUCUGACUAACCGGUCUAUUACUACUAACCUUUAGGCACAAAGAAUGUCUUUCGAUGUGAGUGAUAAAUAGAGAAGACUGCAACCGUAGUCUCCUUCUAACCUUGGUAAGGAUGAUCUACUGUUCUAAUGGGGAGACUAACGGAAUCUAGACAACACAAAGGAUGUUCGACCCGCACCUAUAAACCCUAUCCUUCCUGCUAACGAGAUGUGAUCUACAAAGGUAACUCAGAAUUGUCACGUUCCUCACUACUACCACGGUCCAGCUAGUCAGGGAAUAUCUAUGAGUACCCCAGCCUAAACACCACGUUUACGCCAGCAAUGAUUACUCUAAACUCUACGCGAAGAGAUUAAAGUAAACUCAUAAACCAUAAGAAUAAUAAAACAAGAACUUACUAGAAUUUAGAAGUCGAAAUACUGAAGAAUCCUAGGAGCAAGCUUCGGGUUAGGAGAACUUGAUCCCGCAGGUACAAGCUUGGAGUAGACACCGACAGGCCGGGCUUCCUCCAAUCUACACCUCCACUCUAUCUCUCUCAAUCUAGUAGAAACUAGAAGAUCUAUUUCUACCUUACAUUGGUUGCUAAGCCUAAAAAGAAAUAUUAAUUAGAGAAGAGAUUUUCCUUCGAGGGCACCCCUCAGUCUCUAUGAUAAUUUCUUCAUGUCUUCUCCAGGGGCCAGGGGGGUCUCCUUAUAUAGUCCUCCCCUUCUAUGCGUUUUUGGGUCGAUAGGCGAGGUGGUACUAUGUUUUUCUUGAUCCAACGGGUCGGUGGAAUAUCCCGAGCGAAGAGAGUCCUGAUUGGCAUCCAGAGGGGGGCGAGUGCCCAGGUCACGAGGGCGGGCGCCCUGGGCCUGGCCCCUUUCGGCCUCCGUCUUCUUCCCGUGGCUUCUGGAGUCUUCUAGAUGGUGGAAAAUCGCGCGGUGCGUUGAUAUCUCUAUGUAAUCCCGACAUGUGGGCCUUUCUUCCUUAUUUCCUGAUAACCCCCUGCAGAAACAGAUAAACAACAAAACUCGUGGAAUUCUGUCAGAUCAAACCCUAAUUCUAGGUGUUGGUUGCAUAUUGGUCCUUUCUCUUGUUUCUUUGAUAAUUAAAAUUGAUACUUAAGAACCGUCAACAAAUACCCCCAUACUUAGGCUUUUACUCGUCCUCGAGAAAAGGAUGGUUAAGAACAAUAUUUGGGGUAAAAUAUUUAAAACAUUGUCUUUAUAAUUGCAGGGUGUUAAAAUUCCACUGUGUACCAUAGUCAGGGAUGUUUAUGGUCAAGAGUAAAGAUCCUUUCUUCUCAAUCCUGUCACUUGGAGUUUUUGUAUAUUUUUGAAAGAGAGUUAGCAUACCUUUUGAUCCCAUAGGUUCUCUCAGAUCACUCAUUAUCUUUUAUAUAUAUAUCUCACUGAGUUUGUCUUAAUUUUGCAAAAAUUCUCAAGCAUACUUACUUUGCAUUUAUUGCCUGAUCAAAACGGGAUCCGAGGAGGGGAAUGUCAUACUCUUAGAUCAAAGACUUUGGAAAUUAAAAUCUUUGUCAACUCUUGCUGGCAUAUUGCUUAUUAGAGGGACCAUGGGCUAUCAUUUUUUUUCUCUUUUCUCUCUUCUUUUUUUAAGUGGAUACCAAGGUACCCCUAAUUCUACUGCCGGACACUUGUCCAUUUUUCUGCGAGGUUGUCGAGCACUUGCUCCUUUUUAUUUCCUCGAAAUAUUUUUAUUUUUGCAUAGCCCAUGCCUCUAAUGCAAUAAUACUUCGGAAGAGUGAAUCUUUCUGAAAUAAAUGUCUUGAUCUUAGGAGCAUGAUAAAUCUCUCAACAAGGGUCUAACUCAUUUUGAACAAACUCAAUACAGAGUAGAUAGCUUUUGUAAUUAAUAUUCAAUAUUUUUCAGUCUUAUCAGGCAUAUAAAACACUGAGGAUGGUAGCUAGAAUUUUGAAUAUUUUAAAAUAAAUUCUCCAAGUAGCAAUGAUAUCAAGAAUAAGAAACUCAUACUCUACCAUCACAUAUUCCAUAAUGACUUAAGUAACACAGGGUUUUAAAAUGAUUUUCAAUAAUUGCAAGUUUUCAGGAAAUAUCACAGAUUGAGAUUAAUCAUGAUUAGAAAUAUUUUAAUAUUUUUAUUUUAUCAUGUUGGAAACAGUAAUCUGCAUAAUCCAAAAUAUAUGUAUAUGUAAAGUAAAGUGUGCCGAGUGUGUACCUGAAUCGUGGAGUGGUGUAGUCGGAGUAUGUUUGGC